RNAcentral lists this ribosomal RNA (1523 nucleotides) under Microbacterium sp. No. 7. RNAcentral describes it as "bacterial SSU rRNA". It matches the Rfam family "Bacterial small subunit ribosomal RNA". Lineage: Bacteria; Bacillati; Actinomycetota; Actinomycetes; Micrococcales; Microbacteriaceae. The record is from RNAcentral. RNAcentral also lists the same sequence under 2 other names.
UUUACGGAGAGUUUGAUCCUGGCUCAGGAUGAACGCUGGCGGCGUGCUUAACACAUGCAAGUCGAACGGUGAAGCAGAGCUUGCUCUGUGGAUCAGUGGCGAACGGGUGAGUAACACGUGAGCAACCUGCCCCUGACUCUGGGAUAAGCGCUGGAAACGGCGUCUAAUACUGGAUAUGAGCUGCGACCGCAUGGUCAGCAGUUGGAAAGAUUUUUCGGUCUGGGAUGGGCUCACGGCCUAUCAGCUUGUUGGUGAGGUAAUGGCUCACCAAGGCGUCGACGGGUAGCCGGCCUGAGAGGGUGACCGGCCACACUGGGACUGAGACACGGCCCAGACUCCUACGGGAGGCAGCAGUGGGGAAUAUUGCACAAUGGGCGAAAGCCUGAUGCAGCAACGCCGCGUGAGGGAUGACGGCCUUCGGGUUGUAAACCUCUUUUAGCAGGGAAGAAGCGAAAGUGACGGUACCUGCAGAAAAAGCGCCGGCUAACUACGUGCCAGCAGCCGCGGUAAUACGUAGGGCGCAAGCGUUAUCCGGAAUUAUUGGGCGUAAAGAGCUCGUAGGCGGUUUGUCGCGUCUGCUGUGAAAUCCCGAGGCUCAACCUCGGGUCUGCAGUGGGUACGGGCAGACUAGAGUGCGGUAGGGGAGAUUGGAAUUCCUGGUGUAGCGGUGGAAUGCGCAGAUAUCAGGAGGAACACCGAUGGCGAAGGCAGAUCUCUGGGCCGUUACUGACGCUGAGGAGCGAAAGGGUGGGGAGCAAACAGGCUUAGAUACCCUGGUAGUCCACCCCGUAAACGUUGGGAACUAGUUGUGGGGUCCAUUCCACGGAUUCCGUGACGCAGCUAACGCAUUAAGUUCCCCGCCUGGGGAGUACGGCCGCAAGGCUAAAACUCAAAGGAAUUGACGGGGACCCGCACAAGCGGCGGAGCAUGCGGAUUAAUUCGAUGCAACGCGAAGAACCUUACCAAGGCUUGACAUAUACGAGAACGGGCCAGAAAUGGUCAACUCUUUGGACACUCGUAAACAGGUGGUGCAUGGUUGUCGUCAGCUCGUGUCGUGAGAUGUUGGGUUAAGUCCCGCAACGAGCGCAACCCUCGUUCUAUGUUGCCAGCACGUAAUGGUGGGAACUCAUGGGAUACUGCCGGGGUCAACUCGGAGGAAGGUGGGGAUGACGUCAAAUCAUCAUGCCCCUUAUGUCUUGGGCUUCACGCAUGCUACAAUGGCCGGUACAAAGGGCUGCAAUACCGUGAGGUGGAGCGAAUCCCAAAAAGCCGGUCCCAGUUCGGAUUGAGGUCUGCAACUCGACCUCAUGAAGUCGGAGUCGCUAGUAAUCGCAGAUCAGCAACGCUGCGGUGAAUACGUUCCCGGGUCUUGUACACACCGCCCGUCAAGUCAUGAAAGUCGGUAACACCUGAAGCCGGUGGCCCAACCCUUGUGGAGGGAGCCGUCGAAGGUGGGAUUGGUAAUUAGGACUAAGUCGUAACAAGGUAGCCGUACCGGAAGGUGCGGCUGGAUCACCUCCUUU